GGGAGGAGACUGCCGGCUUUACUGAAUGCUUCACCGUAGAGCUUGAAGGUGCAGGAGCUGUCACAAGACUGGUUGUCCAACGAAAUGGUUUAAAAUAUGUUAUGAAGCUGAAAUUUGAUAUGCUUGCUUGCAGUGGAUUUUUUUCGGAAAUCUUCAUCAAAAUGGCUGCAAGUAUAGAAGGAGUGAAUAAAAUUCAGCUAAGACAAAACAGAAAUUGCAAUCUUUUUAGACCAGCUCUAGCAACUCAACAGAAGAUGAUGGAGACUUAAAAACUGGCAGGCACUCAGGACCCAGUGCAGCAAAACACUUAAACACGUUCUUAACUUUAAGAUUGCGAACAAUCCCUCUGACCUCCAUGGGAAGGAGAACAGAGACACAGAGGCCAAGUGACUCACCGAAGCUCACACAACAGCAUGGAUAUAUACUUAAUGAUCACUUCAUAGCAAACAGCUUAAAGUACCUUUUUGUUGUUGUUCUCUUCCUUUAGGGGCAAUCAGCUCCUCACUGAACUCUUACUAUGGGCAAUCAAUAUCCAGAAUUAUACUUCAUCAAUUCUGCAGGAAAAUUUAUUGUUUCAUUUUUCAUAAGCAAAGCCAUGAGUUUGCCCUUGUUAAAGUUGAUAAUGGAGACAUUUUGGAGGAUGCUUCAAGGAGCUGACCAACAUCAUUCUAGGACAACUGAUUUCCAUCCAGUACAUGACCAAACAGGGCUAUAAUGGAUUUUUCUUUCUGAAUAUCUGAGGUCCCUCUUCAAGUCUGGACCUCCACAGACCUGUCCCUGUGUGGAGAAAAUGUGGAUGUUACUGAAGUUGUGAUUCAGUGAAUCAACUACGUUACGGGUUCAGAUAUGUUGUAUUAGCGGCCUUCAGCUUCUCAGGGACUGCAACAUUUGCUCAAAAUUUUCAUCUUCCCAGUCACUUCUGUUAACUAUCUGUUCUGGAUUCUUCGUCAAGUAAGUAUGUGGGGUUUAGGCAACUCCUCCAUCUCCAUCUUGCAAUAAAUAAUGGGUAGAGGGACUCCCA
This 1021-nucleotide long non-coding RNA is filed under the name Chrysemys picta bellii (western painted turtle). RNAcentral describes it as "lncRNA (ENSCPBG00000007253.1)". The record is from RNAcentral. Lineage: Eukaryota; Metazoa; Chordata; Testudines; Emydidae.